This 378-nucleotide ribosomal RNA is filed under the name uncultured bacterium. RNAcentral's name for it is "partial 16S ribosomal RNA". It matches the Rfam family "Bacterial small subunit ribosomal RNA", at positions 338 to 733 of the family's 1533-position model. The record is from RNAcentral.
CCUACGGGUGGCAGCAGUGGGGGAUAUUGCUCAAUGGGCGAAAGCCUGAUGCAGCAACGCCGCGUGAGUGAUGACGUCUUUCGGUUUUUAAAACCUCUUUUGACGGGGAGAAAAUGACGGUACCUGUCCAGGAAGCACCGGCUACCUACGUGCCACCAGCCGCGGUAAUACGGGGGGUGCAAGCGUUAUCCGGAUUUAAUGGGCGUAAAGCGGUCGUAGGCGGUUAUGGAAGUCUGAAGGUAAAGUCAGGGGCCCAACCCCGGUACGGCGUUGGAAACUGGGUAACUUGAGUACUGGAGGGGUAGGCGGAAUGCCUGGUGUAGCGGUGAAAUGCGUAGAUAUCAGGAGGAACACCGGUGGCGAAGGCGGCUUACUGGA